RNAcentral lists this ribosomal RNA (624 nucleotides) under uncultured bacterium. RNAcentral's name for it is "bacterial SSU rRNA". It matches the Rfam family "Bacterial small subunit ribosomal RNA", at positions 140 to 751 of the family's 1533-position model. The record is from RNAcentral.
GGGAUAACAGGAGGAAACUCCUGCUAAUACCGCAUAGCCAUGAGCACCGCAUGGAGCUCAUGCCAAAUAUCCUUUCGAGGAUAGCGCAGGGAUGGACCUAUGGCGCAUUAGCUGGUUGGCGGGGCAACGGCCCACCAAGGCAACGAUGCGUAGCCGGCCUGAGAGGGCGGACGGCCACAUUGGGACUGAGACACGGCCCAGACUCCUACGGGAGGCAGCAGUAGGGAAUUUUCGGCAAUGGGGGAAACCCUGACCGAGCAACGCCGCGUGAGCGAAGAAGGCCUUCGGGUCGUAAAGCUCUGUUGUAAAGGAAGAACGGCGCAUACAGGAAAUGGUAUGCGAGUGACGGUACUUUACCAGAAAGCCACGGCUAACUACGUGCCAGCAGCCGCGGUAAUACGUAGGUGGCGAGCGUUAUCCGGAAUCAUUGGGCGUAAAGAGGGAGCAGGCGGCCGCAAGGGUCUGUGGUGAAAGACCGAAGCUAAACUUCGGUAAGCCAUGGAAACCGGGCGGCUAGAGUGCGGAAGAGGAUCGUGGAAUUCCAUGUGUAGCGGUGAAAUGCGUAGAUAUAUGGAGGAACACCAGUGGCGAAGGCGACGGUCUGGGCCGCAACUGACGCUCAUU